Long non-coding RNA from Trifolium pratense (red clover), 1944 nucleotides. RefSeq lists it as uncharacterized. The transcript is spliced from 4 exons. The record is from RefSeq and is a predicted model, not a curated record. Lineage: Eukaryota; Viridiplantae; Streptophyta; Magnoliopsida; Fabales; Fabaceae.
AAAAAAACUGAAAAAAAAAAUUGAAAAAGAAUCCUCACACUCACACAAAAACACUUCAUAUGUUACAAAAAAAACACAAAACACUCUCCUUCGUUGUCAUUGAGCCUGAUUCCGUCAUCACCGUUUCUUCACCGCCGUUUCCAUCACCGUUGUUUCCUUCUCCGACCAUAACCCUAACUGAUUUCUUCAUCACAGUUUCCUAUCACGCCUAAUCUACUCAUUUUCUUCAUCAACCCUAAUCCCUAAAUCGUUUUCUUCAUUCCUUAAAUCGCAAAAUCGCAAACUGGUUCGUUGCUCUCAUUUCAAAACAAGAUGAUGAACGGGGUAUUUCGUUUUCUCUUCAAUUUUAUUUUUUUUAUUCAGAGUCAAUUGAAAAUUGAAGAAAGAGGGAUCUUUUGUGGUUUUGGUGUUUUUUUUUUCCUCUUCGUUUUUGAGAUCGUAACUGGUUUGAAUUGUUCACUGAUUAAUAAUUCGUUGAUAGGUAUUUAGCUUAUUGGAACUUUUGGGUUUUGUUGAUUUAUUGCAUUUAGAUGGAACUCUUGUGAAUCACAAUACCAAAUAUUUUUCAAUUGGAUGAGUUUAUUUGUUAUCUGUUUUAGUUUGAUGAGUUAUCAAUUAUCAAGCUGUACGGGUUUUUUUUAUUUUUUUGCUUCUAAUGUGUUGAUGCUUAAGGCCCUGCACCUGGUGUGUGUGGGUGUUAGUGCCACUGUUAGUUUUUAUUUUCCUUUGAUAUGUGGAGCCUUUGUAAGGUUGACCACAACCAAUAUUCCAACUGAUGGGUGAGUACAUCAUGUGUAUUUAUUGAAAAUUAGGCAUAGUUGGUGCAAUUAUGUUCACUUGUUUUGUAGUAAAAUAAAUGUCUUGUUUAAUAUAUGGCUUCAUUCUUGCUUGAGUACUAGAUUUUGGGGGUUGGGGCAUUGCUAAUAAUUACUGAGCAUGAGUGCAAGUUCCUAACUAUGCUUGAUUGUAAACUUUUGAUUACUUUAUAUAGGUGUUGUGCAAAAAGGUUUUAAUGCUAUUUUCAGAGACUGUAAUGGUAUUUCCAUUUUCUACUUAGGUUUUAUUGAUUGAAAUUCUAUGGUGAUUGAAUUUGCUUCAUCGCCAUUUUCUAUAAUAAGCACUAAAUCCCUAAUCGUCGACCUUAAUCCCUAAAUUGUUUUUUCCUUCAUUCCAAUCCCUAAUCCCUAAAUUUCCGACGAAGCUUCUCAAUUUCCGGCUAGUGACAAAGCUUCUCUUUCUUUUUCUCAUUGAACAUAGUUCAUUGUUUUCAUCUCAGGUUACUUGUUCUCUCUUUGAGCAAGUUAUCAUUUGAAAAACAACUAUCAGUUGAUUGUAUCAUAGCUUUGCUUUGGAUCUGUUUUUGUUGGUUGUGAAGGUUGAGAAUUGAAAUUUAAGAUUUUGUAUGAUUUUUAUGAUGUUUUGUUUUGAGAAAUGUUUGUUGGUUUUGUUUUGUGAGGUUUGCAUGAGUAUAUCUGCUUCAUACAUUUAGCUACUUGCCUUGUGAUCUUAAUUUCAUCGAUCAUCUAGUGACAUUGGAUAUGGAAAGAAAACCAGUGUGCGAGGCCGAUACUUGUUGAUCCGGGGUAGUACAUGAAUAAGAAGCAAGAUGUGUUUUGGGUUACAUAGAGGAGAAGUAAACCAGCUGCUUUCAAACUUUUCACAGAUAGUGAUUGGAUUCAACUAAAGAUAGAAGCAUUUCUCAUUUUGCGCAGCCAAUUUCUUAAGUCUGCUGCCAAAUUUUAACUCUGCUGCUGAUUUUGUAACUCUGCUGCCGUUUUCGUAAUUGAAUAAGAAGAAUCAAGAAAUGAUUAAGGAUCAUGAAGCAACAUAACAUACUAAGGAUUAGUUUUUUUCCUUUUAGAGUUUCAAGUUAUUUAAUUAAAUUUUUUAUGUAUGGAUGUUGUCACUAUUGAAUUAAUUAUAUGAAUGAGAUUAAGUUAUUUA